GAGGUGAUUCCCCGGAGGUGAAGGAGACACAAGGACAAGCAUCUCUGGGUAUAUAUUUGGCUCCGUGAUCACGUCUCUUCCAGUUAUCUCUCGGUCCUUCUCCUCCUUCGUUCCCUCCUUCGGCGCCUCCUUCGAAGACAUCAUGAAGUUCCUGUACAUCGUGCUCCUGUGCCUCGUGGCGGUCGCUGCGGCCAGAAGCUGGUACGACUUCGAUCUCGAUGACGACGACUUCUUCAAGCCCGCCCGCAGGACUUGGAAGGCCGUGGGCGGCUGGAGAGGGGCAUCUCCCACGAGGCGUCUUGUUUACGACAGCGACGAGGAUUCGGACAGUUACGAAGAUUAGGGGCUCUGGCUUCGACUUAGGAUGUAAAAAAAAGAUUCAAGCCUCAGCCUUUUCUUCGUCUCAUCCUCUUCCGCCCACGCCCAUCUUCUCUUCCGUAUCCUUCAGCCCUUUACCCUUCCCCCUCCCUCCUUCCCUUCUUCCUCUCCUUCAUCCCCCUCCCCCUCUCUCCUCCCCCCUCCCUUCCCUCCUCUACCCCCCCCCCCCAAGGUCAUCAGCUUCAUCAUAGGUGUUGGCUUACAAAUAUGAGCUCAUAUUAAUAUUCUAAUAAUUAAUUAAAGUUUAUUCUCUGA
RNAcentral lists this long non-coding RNA (633 nucleotides) under Penaeus japonicus. Its description in RNAcentral is "uncharacterized LOC122253758". The record is from RNAcentral. Lineage: Eukaryota; Metazoa; Arthropoda; Malacostraca; Decapoda; Penaeidae.